This 424-nucleotide ribosomal RNA is filed under the name uncultured bacterium. RNAcentral describes it as "bacterial SSU rRNA". It matches the Rfam family "Bacterial small subunit ribosomal RNA", at positions 354 to 776 of the family's 1533-position model. The record is from RNAcentral.
GUGAGGAAUAUUGGUCAAUGGGCGUAAGCCUGAACCAGCCAAGUCGCGUGAGGGAUGAAGGUUCUAUGGAUCGUAAACCUCUUUUAUAAGGGAAUAAAGUGUGGGACGUGUCCUAUUUUGUAUGUACCUUAUGAAUAAGGAUCGGCUAACUCCGUGCCAGCAGCCGCGGUAAUACGGAGGAUCCGAGCGUUAUCCGGAUUUAUUGGGUUUAAAGGGUGCGCAGGCGGCACGGCAAGCCGGCGGUCAAAUCGCGGGGCUCAACCCCGCCCAGCCGUCGGAACUGCCGGGCUAGAGUGGGCGAGAAGUGCGCGGAAUGCGUGGUGUAGCGGUGAAAUGCAUAGAUAUCACGCAGAACUCCGAUUGCGAAGGCAGCGCACCGGCGCCCUACUGACGCUCAGGCACGAAAGCGUGGGUAUCGAACAGG